AUCAUUCAGUCUAGAAUGGAGUGAUUGUUUACUUCAGUCUUCAUUGAUCCCAAAUAUCUUGACUGCUUGUGACUGGCUGGAUGCCAACAAAGACCGACUUGUUGGGACAGUCCUCCAGCCAAGAAUUCUGGAAAUGGACGAGGAUGAAGUUACGUACACAAUUGAAAAAU
This is a long non-coding RNA of Erpetoichthys calabaricus (reedfish), 170 nucleotides long. RefSeq lists it as uncharacterized. The transcript has 2 exons. The record is from RefSeq and is a predicted model, not a curated record. Lineage: Eukaryota; Metazoa; Chordata; Cladistia; Polypteriformes; Polypteridae.